RNAcentral lists this long non-coding RNA (1173 nucleotides) under Heterocephalus glaber (naked mole-rat). RNAcentral's name for it is "lncRNA (ENSHGLG00000044809.1)". Lineage: Eukaryota; Metazoa; Chordata; Mammalia; Rodentia; Bathyergidae. The record is from RNAcentral.
AUUAGUGUGCAAACUUUUCACUAAUGAUCAUUCUUUUUCCUAUAUUCUUCAUUCUUUUCAGAAUCAAUUGUAAACAUCUUCACUAAGAGCUGAAAUACAUUCCUGGGAACAUGAGUUUGACAGAAGUGUUUCUUUAUAUUUUGUACUCAAAGCCAAAGCAUCUGGCACCAAUUUCCUUAGACCUUUCUCAGUUUCAAACCUACCAUCCGACUCUCUGCAUACCUUGAGAUCUCAGUUGAAUCUUUGCCUCCAGAGUCCUGAGGACAAAAGGAUAACAAACUGGAAAGAACCGAAUAGUAAUGAUUUUGGUCCAUGAAAACCCCCAGGACUUCAGUGUAUCCAUAGCAAGGCAACUAGCAAUGGCUACAACAAAGUUGAAAUGCUUAAUUUCACAAUUUUGUAGGAAAUGCUGUGAAAGUUUUGAAAGUGUCAAGAAUAAAAAAUAUGAAUUGGAAAGAAUUUUUCCAUAAAGCUACAAUCAGUACUUUCGUUAGGAGCUCGGGCAACAUGGCUGCCCUGGAUACUGUGGAACUUGUGAGGCUAACCAGUAGAUUCCAUCACUAGAGAACGUCAUCACUUAAAUGUCUACAGCAGUGUAUCCGUUUCAUCAAGCAAGGAUUAAUAUCUGCCACUCAUGGAAAACUCAAAAUAUCACUUGUAACUGGAAGAUAAACUUGCAGUUUGUGCAUAGCAUGAAGUCAGUAGAUCUUCAUAAACUGUAGACAUUGCAACUACUCAGCAUUAUUGUUCUAGUAAUGGUACUGGAGUGUUUCUUGGACAGCCAUUUUUGAUACCUUUUGAUUAUAUGGUAGGUGAUUUUCUCAUCUUAUUACUUUAAAAGAGAAAGGUAACAAAUGAUAUCUAGGCGAGUCCCAUUUAGCAUAUUGUUCACUGUUUUGUUCAGAGAAUAAAUGUUUUUUACUAGUCCAUGUUUGCAGUGCAUCAUGUUGACACUCCUCAUGCGGAGUUGGCUGGCCCAUGUGCACAACACACCUCAGUUCCUUCUCACCCCCUUUCCCUCCUCCUCCCAUCUCUCCAUUCCCUUUUCUUUCCAAAAAGAUUUAUCUUUAGACUUCCUAUCAUCUUUUUUACUUUGUUCUUUAUUUAUAUUUUGGUUUAUCACUAUGGAAAUCAGUAUGAAGAUUACUAAAAAAAUGAAAACUUAAAUUCCAC